RNAcentral lists this long non-coding RNA (1576 nucleotides) under Taeniopygia guttata (zebra finch). RNAcentral describes it as "lncRNA (ENSTGUG00000027351.1)". Lineage: Eukaryota; Metazoa; Chordata; Aves; Passeriformes; Estrildidae. The record is from RNAcentral.
GCACAGCUGGAAUGGCACAGCCCGGGAGGUACAGCCUGAAACAGCUGGAAUAGCACAGCCCGGGAGGUACAACCUGUGGGUGUCACACACACACACACACACACACACACACACACACACACACACACACACACAGCCUGCCAACAGCCUGGCAGCACACCCAGGGGCUGCCCAGCGCUGGUGACACCGUGGGGGUGUCACUGUGUGUGUUUGUGUCACCCGCUGUGUGCCUGUGUGUGACUCCCUCUGCGUGUGGCUCCGCUCCUUGUGUGUGCGUGUGUCACUGUGCGUGUGUGUGGGUCCCCUCCUCAGUGCGUGUGUCACUCCCUCUCUGUUUGUGUGUGUGUCACUGUGCGUGUGUCACUGUCUGUGUCACUCCAUGUGUGUGGCUCUGAGUGUGUCACUGUGCGUGUGUCACUCUGUGUGUGUCACUGUCUGUGUCAGUGUCUGUGGCACUCUGUGUGUGGCACUCUGUGCCGGUGCGUGUGUCACUCUGUGUGUGUGUCACUCUGUGUGUCACUGUGCAUGUGUCACUGUGUGUCCCUGUCUGUGCCAUUGUGCAGGUGUCACUGUCUGUGUCACUCUGUGUGUGUCACUGUCUGUGUCGGUGUCUGUGUCACUGUCUGUGUCACUCUGUGUGUGGCACUCUGUGUCAGUGUCUGUGUCAGUGUCUGUGUCACUGUCUGUGUCACUCUGUGUGUCACUGUGCGUGUGUCACUGUGUGUCCCUGUCUGUGCCAUUGUGCGGAUGUCAAUGUUUGUGUCACUCUCUGUGUGUCACUCUGUCUGUGUCAGUGCGUGUGUCACUCUGUGUGUGGCACUGUCUGUGUCGGUGUCUGUGUCAUUCUGUGUGUGUCGGUGCGUGUGUCACUCUGUGUGUGUCACUCUGUCUGUGUCAGUGUCUGUGUCACUGUCUGUGUCACUCUGUGUGUGUCACUCUGUCUGUGUCGGUGUCUGUGUCACUGACUGUGUCAUUCUGUGUGUGUCACUGUCUGUGUCCCUGUGCAGUGUCACUCCGAGUGUGUCCCUGUGUCGCUGCCGGCGCUGUCCCGGCGGGCACACAUCCCCGUGUCCGUGCCCAUGUCCGUGUGUCCGUGUCCGUGUCCGUGCCCGUGUCCGUGUCCGUGUGUCUGUCCGUGUCCGUGCCCGUGUCCGUGUCCCUAUCCGUGCCCGUGUCCGUGUCCGUGCCCGUGUCCGUGUCCGUGUCCGUGUCCGUGUCCGUGGGUCCGUGUGUCCGUGUGUCCGUGUCCGUGUCCGUGUCCGUGGGUCCGUGUGUCCGUGUGUCCGUGUCGGUGCCCGUGUCCGUGUCCGUGUCCAUACCCAUGUCCGUGUGUCCGUGUCCGUGCGCGCUCCCGCGGUCCCGCCCCCCCCCCCACCCGCGCGCGCCCCCGCGCCGCCCCCGGAAGCGGCCGCGGGUCACGUGUGCGCGCGGCGCUGCCAUAAACACGGCAAGAUGGCGGCGCUCACGCCGCCCGCCCGCCCGUGCUGCGUCAUGUCGCGCCCCGGCCCCGCCGCGCCCGCAGGAUGCCCCUGUCUUGGCUGGUUACUGUAACUCAGAGGUCUCUACGUGGAAUUGA